GACGAACGCUGGCGGCGUGCUUAACACAUGCAAGUCGAACGGAAAGGCCCUGCGUUUGUGGGGUGCUCGAGUGGCGAACGGGUGAGUAACACGUGAGUAACCUGCCCUUGACUUUGGGAUAACUUCAGGAAACUGGGGCUAAUACCGGAUAGGAGCUCCUGCUGCAUGGAGGGGGUUGGAAAGUUUCGGCGGUUGGGGAUGGACUCGCGGCUUAUCAGCUUGUUGGUGGGGUAGUGGCUUACCAAGGCUUUGACGGGUAGCCGGCCUGGGAGGGUGACCGGCCACAUUGGGACUGCGAUACGGCCCAGACUCCUACGGGAGGCAGCAGUGGGGAAUAUUGCACAGUGGGCGGAAGCCUGAUGCAGCAACGCCGCGUGCGGGAUGACGGCCUUCGGGUUGUAAACCGCUUUCGCCUGUGACGAAGCGUGAGUGACGGUAAUGGGUAAAGAAGCACCGGCUAACUACGUG
This 468-nucleotide ribosomal RNA is filed under the name uncultured bacterium. Its description in RNAcentral is "partial 16S ribosomal RNA". It matches the Rfam family "Bacterial small subunit ribosomal RNA", at positions 28 to 507 of the family's 1533-position model. The record is from RNAcentral.